Molecule: ribosomal RNA, 209 nt
Filed under: uncultured eukaryote
Lineage: Eukaryota
Description: partial 18S ribosomal RNA
Rfam family: Eukaryotic small subunit ribosomal RNA
Source: RNAcentral
UUAAAGUUGUUGCAGUUAAAAAGCUCGUAGUUGAACCUUGRGCCUGGUUGGCCGGUCCGCCUCACCGCGUGCACUGGUCCGGCCGGGCYUUUCCUUCUGGGGAGCCGCAUGCCCUUCAYUGGGUGUGUCGGGGAACCAGGACUUUUACUUUGAAAAAAUUAGAGUGUUCAAAGCAGGCCUAUGCUCGAAUACAUUAGCAUGGAAUAAUA